Long non-coding RNA from Trifolium pratense (red clover), 1417 nucleotides. RefSeq lists it as uncharacterized. NCBI's taxonomy places the organism in Eukaryota, Viridiplantae, Streptophyta, Magnoliopsida, Fabales, Fabaceae. The record is from RefSeq and is a predicted model, not a curated record. The transcript is spliced from 3 exons.
GUUUUAGUUUGCAACAUAUGCCAACAUAUGGAUUCAAAGAGAUCUGUUGCUGCCCAGUCAAGGGAUGUAAAAGGCAAGAAGGCGACUCUAGCGUGACAAUCAAGUAAUACAGUGAAUUUGUUGAUAAGGUGGUAGCUGCUCUUUGGUAUUCUUUUUCUCCUGAAGAUGCCAUUUUUGUUCAUUUCUACCUUACUGUAGUAAAUUUGUACAGUAGUCAGACUGAUGCUCAAUCCAUUACAUGUAAUAAUGUGAAUUCUCAAGCAAUCUGGGAAUAAAAUAUAUAAAAGAAUGAGUCUAGCUUAUUUUUUCCACACCUUAAGUUUGUUUCCAGUCAUGAAAUACAAGCCUUAUUAGGCGGUGAUGGCUGGAGUAAACCCUUGUGGAGAAAAUUAUGAUUGAAGAAGUUUUGUAUAUUGAUGACAAAAUCAUUUAUUGGUAAUUCAUUACAGAAUGUGCAUAGUGUACUGGUCCUGUCCUUGCACACAGUAGUUAAUAUGCUUUGAUUAUUCGUUGGCUGUUUUGUUAUUUGGUAAGUUGGUUUACGCAGCAGCUUAUGAUUAGAAACAUUUGAUGGAGAGCUCUUGCUGAAGACUCCUGCAGAAAGCUUCAGCUGUGGUUCUAAUUUCGGUUCCUCUUUCCACGGACAUGAUAAAAGCUGCAAGAUUACAAAUGCACGAUUUCUUCCAAAUUGGACAACCUUAUGUGGAACCAUCACAACCAUCUUCCAAAUUGUAAUAGCCGAAUUCUUGGGCACAUAUGCCAACACAUCUCCACUUAGUUUGAAACUGUGGUUCGUUAGCGUUUUCCUUGGAGUCCUUGGCAUGCCAAUUGGAGCAGCUAUAAAGAUGAUCCCUGUGGGAUCUGCCUAAAAUAAAUUCAGACUAUUAGGUUGGUUCCCUUGUCUGGAACAAUGUCAAUUUUGAAUGCUGCAGAAGCAAGUGCAGAUGGCAGGGAAUGUUUGUGAAUACAUGUUGUUGAAGAUCAGAAGGGCAGUGUCCUUUAUACAUAAGUAGAAAAGUACUUCAAUUCAAUCUUAAAGAAGCAAAGUCUAUACAAGCAAACCAUCUUCUGGUGUACUUUUAGAUGGAAAGGGCGCUAUGCUAGUUGCUGCUGUUGUACGAUCCCUUGUGUUUUAAAGAAUAGUACUUAGGUGAUUAACUAAUUGCAAUUCAUUUAGUUCCACACAGUCUACACUUUUCCACCAAGCAGCUUCAGGUCCAUUUUUGUUUCAGUACCCUCUCAUUAUGAUGUUUUGAAUUGUGAUGUUUUGAAUUGUAAUGACUUGGUAUUUUGCUUGAAUGUUGAAUUAACAUUUUGGAUGAAUGACUUGGUAUUUUGCUGGAAUUGUAAUGACUUGGUUUUUUGCUUGAAUUGUAAUGACUUGGUAUUUUGCUUUAAUGACAUUUGAUCAUAUUAU